RNAcentral lists this ribosomal RNA (440 nucleotides) under uncultured bacterium. Its description in RNAcentral is "bacterial SSU rRNA". It matches the Rfam family "Bacterial small subunit ribosomal RNA", at positions 338 to 789 of the family's 1533-position model. The record is from RNAcentral.
CCUACGGGUGGCUGCAGUCGAGGAUCUUCGGCAAUGGGCGCAAGCCUGACCGAGCGACGCCGCGUGAGCGACGAAGGCCUUCGGGUUGUAAAGCUCGAAAGUACCAAGGAAAGCCGCAAGGCCUGACCGAGGUACAGUAAGCACGGGCUAAGUUCGUGCCAGCAGCCGCGGUAAGACGAACCGUGCGAACGUUGUUCGGAAUCACUGGGCUUAAAGGGCGCGUAGGCGGGCCGCAAAGUCAGGGGUGAAAUCCUCCAGCUCAACUGGAGAACUGCCUUUGAUACUGGCGGUCUUGAGUGGGGUAGGGGCAUGCGGAACAAUGGGUGGAGCGGUGAAAUGCGUUGAUAUCCAUUGGAACUCCGGUGGCGAAAGCGGCGUGCUGGACCUCUACUGACGCUGAGGCGCGAAAGCCAGGGGAGCAAACGGGAUUAGAUACCCCU